CGGGUUAUAGCUCAGCUUGGUAGAGCACUACACUGGGGGUGUAGGGGUCAUCGGUUCGAAUCCGGUUAACCCGACCA
RNAcentral lists this transfer RNA (77 nucleotides) under Natronoglycomyces albus. Its description in RNAcentral is "Glycomycetaceae bacterium DSM 106290 tRNA-Pro". It matches the Rfam family "tRNA". From Rfam's summary of the family: Transfer RNA (tRNA) molecules are approximately 80 nucleotides in length. Their secondary structure includes four short double-helical elements and three loops (D, anti-codon, and T loops). Lineage: Bacteria; Bacillati; Actinomycetota; Actinomycetes; Glycomycetales; Glycomycetaceae. The record is from RNAcentral.